Molecule: long non-coding RNA, 727 nt
Organism: Cygnus atratus (black swan)
Lineage: Eukaryota; Metazoa; Chordata; Aves; Anseriformes; Anatidae
Exons: 2
Source: RefSeq, a predicted model, not a curated record
AACCAACCAAGCGAAACCGAGCGGCUUUUAAUUCGUGUGAGGUUUGCCCUCUGGUUUGCCGCCGCUUUAUGCGGCAGAGACAGCGGCGGGAGGACGUGGCUGUGUUCCCCCCCGCGGCCCAGACCCGGGCUUGGGCCGCCCCGGAGAUCUGAAGGGCGCGGGGGGACUCUGUGGCUGCCUCAUGGAGCAGUGCAGGGGGAUGGGGUGCCCGUCGCCCCUCGGCCACCGCAUCAGGGCUUGUUUGGGGCAGGAGGUUUGCAGCUUUGGGCCCUUGGGGACGGAAGAAGCAGACAGACGGCUGCUGGGAGAGGCAGAUACACGCCUGCUGCGGUCGAAGCAGCGGGGCUGCAGCCGGCGCUGGCAGAGCAGCGUGGCCUUUGUCCCCUCCCGACCCGAUCCGCCACGGAAGGAUGGCAGCGGCCAGCGCGUGGCAGGCCCCGCCGCCAGCCGCUUUAAUUAGCGCAGAGCCGCAGCUCGCCGGGGCGGCACGGUGCGGAGGAGGCACUGCAGCGGUUGCCUGCUCGCCGCGGCGCUGCCCGGCCUGCAGCCCGCACUGCGGCCCCGCAGCCGCUCGCCCAGCGCCUCCCCCGUGGCGCCCGCCCCCGUGGACCGCCCGCAGGAGGCACCGCAGCAGCUCGCCGGGCGUUUUGGGGCCGGGGAAGGACCCGAGGGUGUGCGGUGUCGUCUGCCGAAGCUCCGAGCAAACAAUAAACCCGGAUAAACCCGA